Non-coding RNA from Lindgomyces ingoldianus, 88 nucleotides. The record is from the annotation of a RefSeq genome assembly. NCBI's taxonomy places the organism in Eukaryota, Fungi, Ascomycota, Dothideomycetes, Pleosporales, Lindgomycetaceae.
GGGCACUUGGUCUAGGGGUAUGAUAUUCGCUUCGCAUAUGUCAAUGUGUAUUUGUGAAUGGUCGUGGGUUCAAUUCCCACAGUGUCCA